UUCCUACAUGGUUGUAUACGAUAUCUAUGAACUCAGCUGAAAUGUUCCCAGAUUGUGUUCACUCUGCAAACUUCUCUGACAGACAGAGGCAGGGAGCCUCACUGGAGAGAGCUGGGGCCUGGAGACCUGAGGGUGUGUGCCUGAGUUCUCGCCCUGCCGCCCUUUGAGGAGUGGUUACUGUGCAUCGGUCAUGAAACCAACUUGAUUUUAGUUUUUUCACCUUGGAAACAGGGCCUAAAUGCCCCCAUCUUGCCUCCUUUCAGGGUUGUGUGAGGAUCAGCCAGGGAACCUAUGUCCCAGUGCCUUGUAAACUGCACAGACAUGCCGUGGUUCCGUUACUGGCGUUUUUGGUGAUGAGUCACUAUCCACAAAAAUGCACCCAGUUCUGGGAACAAAAAACCACUCAUAUCCUUGACUAUUGUUCUAGAUGGGGUACCCAAUAGCUCUUCUUUCCCUGCCCCCAGACACACAGUGCUAUUGAACGUGAAUGGAGGAUGCCCAGCAAGAUAACCUCUCCCACCUCUGGGCACUGGCCGCUCAGACACUAGCUACUUGGGUACUGCCAGGUCCUGCAGAAGCCAGAAGGUGAGUGAUUUAUGGAUGCUACGGCCAGGAGCCAACCUGAGCACUCUCGCGACCUGAAGCUAUGAUCCGAUCUGGUGAAGGGGUAAUACAUCUCUCCUAGCUCAGCAUGUGCAGGAACAAUUCACCAAGGCUGAGUGGAAGGGUCAGGAACAAAGCAAGUGAAGACACCUGGCUCACAGGGCAAUGUCUCCCCAUACUGCACUGGAAGCCUGAAGUCUGGCCCCAUGGAGACCUCACCAUCCCCACACAGGGGAGCCCCAGGGCUUGUGUAUACCCCUCCAAACUCAAUGGGAGACGACACUGACAGGACGGUGGGCCUUCUUUCGCCAACCUGAGGCUUCCUGUCUGAGGACCUAGCACGGACCUAGUGCAGAAAAAGGCCAGAAAACAAGGUUUUGAUACAUGAAGGAGCUGGUUCUACUUUACUUACCCUCAACCUGGGGGAGAAAUUAUAACAUCCAAAUCAUGUCUACAGACUAGAGACCUGACAAAGUUUUGAAGAUAUCAGCUCUUGAAGGUUAAGGGUCUGUAACCAUCAUGUUUAUAAACAUAUACUGCACUGGUUCCACUUAGCCUUUCAAAUAUAAAUAAAUUAUUAGGGCUCAUUAUGGAUUAGGCACUGUCCUAGGAACAGUAAACAGAAAAAUGAGUUAAAAUGUAUAUGCUGCAGCUGGGAGUUUACACCUGGCAGGGAGACAGUGACAUGGAAUGAAAUACGAACCAGAGUGUCCUGGGUGAGAAGGUGUAUAGGGUACAGCUCACACAGCUCUGGAGGAGAAAAAGCUCAGCAGAGGUGACCCUUAGACGCAGUCUCAGCCCAGGCUGGAGGGCUGGAGGGGCAGUCUAGAUAGAGGUAAGAGCUUGACCAACCAUCCAGAGCAGCCUAUUAGGAGAACUGCAAGCAUUUCAGCAUGGAAGGGCUUAGGAGAGGCUUAGGAGGAACAGUCAAGAUAGCAUGAGAGCAGGGUCAGGCCUGGUUAGUACUUGGAUGGGAGACCACCUAGGAAUACCAGGUGCUGUGGGCGUUUAAAAAAAAAAAAAAAUAGCAUGAGAAUGUCAGACAAGAGGCCAGGUCACAGAGCACUGGGAAUCCUUGUGAAGAGUUGGGAUUCUACUCUAUAAAUAAUGGAAGACCACCAGAAUAAAGAAGACAUCAGGGAAAGUCGGUUGGGGUGUGGGUGAGAGAGCUGUUAUGUGGAGCCAGGCAGGAAUCCACAUGAGAGCUGAGGGAAUAAAAAGGAGGGGACUGGAAGGGUGCACGGGAAUCAAGGCUGACUCACAGUUCUCAUGGUGUUUCUAAUGAAAAAGAUGCAAAAAGGAAAUGGGGAACAGGUCUGGGAGAAGGAAGUUACUCAUUUCAUUUUGUUCUUAUAUACAUGUCCAUGUAUAUAAUUUUAUGAAUCAUGUGGGUUGUUAUGAACUAAAUGUUUGUUCCCCCUCCUCCAAAAUUCACAUGCCAAAGCCCUAAUCCUCAGUGUAAUAGUAUUAGGAGGUGGGGCCUUUGGCAGGUGAUUAUGUUCAGAUGAGGUCAUGAGAGUGGGGCCUCCAUGGUGGGAUUAGUGCCCUUAUAAGAAGAAGAGACACCAGAGCUUCCUCCCUCUGCCAUAUAAGAAUACAGCAAGAAGCUGGCCAACUACAAGCCAAAAAGAAGGACCUCACCAAGAACCGAAUCUGCCAGCACUUUGACUUAGACUUCUCAGCCUCUAGAACCAUGGGAAAUAAAAGUCAUUUCAGGCCCCCAGUCUAUGGUAUUUUGUGAUAGCAUCCUGAGCUGACUAAGAUGUGAGUUAUUUUAAUAGCUACCCAAUAUUGUAUCCAUAAUAAAGCAUAAUAUUCUUAAUAGCUCCUUUGUCAUCGGACAUUGUUUUAGCUUUUCGUGAUUAAAACAAUCCUCAAAUAUCUUUA
Pteropus alecto (black flying fox) is the source of this 2490-nucleotide long non-coding RNA. RefSeq lists it as uncharacterized. The record is from RefSeq and is a predicted model, not a curated record. NCBI's taxonomy places the organism in Eukaryota, Metazoa, Chordata, Mammalia, Chiroptera, Pteropodidae. The transcript has 2 exons.